UUUGAUUUAACUGUCAACAGGAGUCUCUGUCCCCUCUUUGCUCAGAGUUUCUCUCGGACACCUCUUGGAUCUCUCUUAGGCUAGGAUUCCUUGCCAAGAAAUUUUAGGCUAGGUUAGGAGCUCUUUGAGAGGGCUUUGAGUUGCUUCGCAGAUACGGG
Molecule: long non-coding RNA, 158 nt
Organism: Thalassophryne amazonica
Lineage: Eukaryota; Metazoa; Chordata; Actinopteri; Batrachoidiformes; Batrachoididae
Exons: 4
Source: RefSeq, a predicted model, not a curated record